Small nucleolar RNA from Mastomys coucha (southern multimammate mouse), 137 nucleotides. RefSeq annotates it as small nucleolar RNA SNORA17. The record is from RefSeq and is a predicted model, not a curated record. NCBI's taxonomy places the organism in Eukaryota, Metazoa, Chordata, Mammalia, Rodentia, Muridae. The transcript has a single exon.
UCUGCCCCUAGAGGCAUUACAGGUAUGAUUGCUGUGUCACAUGUGUGUCAGUAGGUGGCAGAAAGGAGAGAGGCUAUGUCUAUGUUCUGCUCAGUGUUUUGAUCUUUGAACAUCUGAAUCACCUGGAGCCUAACAUU